GACGAACGCUGGCGGCGUGCCUAACACAUGCAAGUCGAACGGAACUGUUUUGAAAGAUUUCUUCGGAAUGAAUUUGAUUUAGUUUAGUGGCGGACGGGUGAGUAACGCGUGAGUAACCUGCCUUCAAGAGGGGGAUAACAUUCUGAAAAGAAUGCUAAUACCGCAUGACAUAUCGGAACCACAUGGUUUUGAUAUCAAAGAUUUUAUCGCUUGAAGAUGGACUCGCGUCCGAUUAGUUAGUUGGUGAGGUAACGGCUCACCAAGACCGCGAUCGGUAGCCGGACUGAGAGGUUGAACGGCCACAUUGGGACUGAGACACGGCCCAGACUCCUACGGGAGGCAGCUGUGGGGGAUAUUGCGCAAUGGGGGCAACCCUGACGCAGCAACGCCGCGUGAAGGAUGAAGGUUUUCGGAUUGUAAACUUCUUUUAUUAAGGACGAAA
Molecule: ribosomal RNA, 442 nt
Filed under: uncultured bacterium
Lineage: Bacteria
Description: bacterial SSU rRNA
Rfam family: Bacterial small subunit ribosomal RNA
Source: RNAcentral